This 70-nucleotide transfer RNA is filed under the name Ovis aries (sheep). It matches the Rfam family "tRNA". From Rfam's summary of the family: Transfer RNA (tRNA) molecules are approximately 80 nucleotides in length. Their secondary structure includes four short double-helical elements and three loops (D, anti-codon, and T loops). The record is from Rfam by way of RNAcentral. Lineage: Eukaryota; Metazoa; Chordata; Mammalia; Artiodactyla; Bovidae.
UCCCUGGUGGCUUAGCUGGUAAGAAUCUGCCUGCAAAGCAGGAGACCUGGGUUUGAUCCCUGCCUUGGAG